AUUGAACGCUGGCGGCAUGCUUUACACAUGCAAGUCGAACGGCAGCGCGGGCUUCGGCCUGGCGGCGAGUGGCGAACGGGUGAGUAAUGCAUCGGAACGUGCCCAGUAGUGGGGGAUAGCCCGGCGAAAGCCGGCUUAAUACCGCAUACGACCUGAGGGUGAAAGCGGGGGACCGAAAGGCCUCGCGCUAUUGGCGCGGCCGAUGUCGGAUUAGCUAGUUGGUGGGGUAAAGGCUUACCAAGGCGACGAUCCGUAGCUGGUCUGAGAGGACGACCAGCCACACUGGGACUGAGACACGGCCCAGACUCCUACGGGAGGCAGCAGUGGGGAAUUUUGGACAAUGGGGGCAAGCCUGAUCCAGCCAUGCCGCGUGCGGGAAGAAGGCCUUCGGGUUGUAAAACGCUUUUGUUCGGGAAGAAAUCCUCUGGGCUAAUACCCCGGGGGGAUGACGGUACCGGAAGAAUAAGCACCGGCUAACUACGUG
Molecule: ribosomal RNA, 484 nt
Filed under: uncultured bacterium
Lineage: Bacteria
Description: partial 16S ribosomal RNA
Rfam family: Bacterial small subunit ribosomal RNA
Source: RNAcentral